CACGUAGGUGGUGAAGUAAGUUAACUGUGAAAUCCCUCGGCUUAACUGGGGAAUUGCAGUUGAUACUGCUUUACUAGAGUACAGGAGGGGAGAGUGGAAUUCUAGGUGUAGCGGUGGAAUGCGAAGAUAUCUAGGAGAAGGCCGGUGGCGAAAGCGACUCUCUAGCCUGUUACUGACACUGAGGUGCGAAAGCGUAGGUAGCGAACG
RNAcentral lists this ribosomal RNA (207 nucleotides) under uncultured bacterium. RNAcentral describes it as "partial 16S ribosomal RNA". It matches the Rfam family "Bacterial small subunit ribosomal RNA", at positions 568 to 774 of the family's 1533-position model. The record is from RNAcentral.